UUGUGUGAGAAUGAAGAGAGAAAGAGAGAGUGAGAGAGAGCGAGAGAGAGAGAGCCAGUCUGCAGGAUCAGUUGUUGGUACCACAUCUUUUAAUCUUCCUUCCCCUGUUUUACUUCUUACCCUUGUAUGAUAAGAAGAAGAGGGGUUUGGAAGGAAGGUUUCUACACUUUGGGGGAUUGGUGGAUGACCCCCAUUUGUCUGCUGCACCUCUUCUCAGUGCUGGUGGUGAAGGGAUUGGUGGGAACAGACCUUCUCAGAACUCUGUGCAAUCUGAGGGCAGCUACAAUCUCUCUUCGAGCUUCUGCCAUGUUGAACAAUCUUUCCUGGUGCUCACCAUGGCUGCCAAGAUCUUGGAAAACACCACCUACAACCUCCUCUUUCGCUGACGAUGGAUCUGUUGAAGCUCUGGACCUAGAGGAGCUCAGUUGCUUGACAAGACUACGAAUGUACGCACCGGAUAGAUGC
Molecule: long non-coding RNA, 465 nt
Organism: Musa acuminata AAA Group (dessert banana)
Lineage: Eukaryota; Viridiplantae; Streptophyta; Magnoliopsida; Zingiberales; Musaceae
Exons: 3
Source: RefSeq, a predicted model, not a curated record